UGGAAAGUUCCAGGCUCGGACCAUGAGCUGGAUCUUAGUUCCACCUCCUGAGGCCUACCUGAAGCUCUGGACAGAGUGAGGUCCAGGUGUAGGAACUGGCCCGUGGGGAGGGAAGACUAAGUCGGCCUCUGGCAGGAAGUCCAGGCCCAGGAAGUUGUAGGGUGGGGUCUUGGUAUUCUCCCAGUAUGGGCGGGACUGGAGGAAGCCACCAACCAACGAAGUACUGGGCCUGUGGGUAUUCGUCUCUCUCCCCGCCCCUGAGAGUCUGGGAAAGGCUGACACGUGGUGCCUUCAGGCUCUGGGGCCUAGGACCUUUGUGGUAGCAGAGUCACUGCAGAGAACCAGACAAUACCAGGUUGCUUAUAAAAGGAUGCCAUGUGCUUGCUGGAGGUCCCAGGUGCAACCAAAUUGCUUGCAGCUAGGAGGACCUUGAAGAGAAAUGGAAUCAGCCCGCCAAACCAAGAAGGGUUAGCACUUUUGCUAGGAGAGCUGACCACGCACAAACAGAUGAGAACCAAAACCGAGUGAAGAGGAUUGAAGAUGAACCCACAUUUUAAAAGUUCUUGUCUGCUGGAGGUGGCAUUACCUGUGACCUCGCUUCACUUCUCCAUACAUGGCUGUUAUAGCAGAAAAUCCAGCUUUCUGAAGCAUAUUUCACGACAUAUGAUGAGACUUAUGUGAUGUGAGACCUGAGAAAACUAUGAUAGAAAGAAGCAACUCAAGCUGCAAGGAUAUUCCUCAUGUAUCAUGCAAGGAUAUUCCUCAUGUAUCAUGCUUUUUCUAUCUUCUGCUCUUUGCCACCUGUGAGGUCCCUGAAAAUGAAGGCCAAUACUACCCAGGUAAGCAAAUACCCGAAAGGCCAAAAAGACUGGGUAAUCUGGUGUUCCCGUUAAUUCUCCCUAUUAGAGUUUUAAUCUGAGACUUUCUCUUUUGUGAAUUCUUUGACACUUUUAAGGAGAAUUUUGUAUUUCGUCCUAUAUAUUUUGUUUCCAUUGGAGAGAUAUGGAGGAGAAAUGGUCCAAAUAUUAUAGCCAACCAUAAACAAAAACUGAAUUACUCCUAAAUCUAUUUAACAAGUUGAAAUAUGACUAAGCUGUUCAGUAAUAUUUGUUAUUUAUUUCAAUGAAUAUUUUCCUUAACUUUCUGAGGAAACUAAGUAACUAAUUUCAAAUGAG
This 1175-nucleotide long non-coding RNA is filed under the name Pan troglodytes (chimpanzee). Its description in RNAcentral is "lncRNA (ENSPTRG00000054607.1)". Lineage: Eukaryota; Metazoa; Chordata; Mammalia; Primates; Hominidae. The record is from RNAcentral.